This 58-nucleotide ribosomal RNA is filed under the name Tuber magnatum (white Piedmont truffle). RNAcentral describes it as "partial 28S ribosomal RNA". It matches the Rfam family "Eukaryotic large subunit ribosomal RNA", at positions 1 to 57 of the family's 3401-position model. Lineage: Eukaryota; Fungi; Ascomycota; Pezizomycetes; Pezizales; Tuberaceae. The record is from RNAcentral.
UUGACCUCAGAUCAGGUAGGGAUACCCGCUGAACUUAAGCAUAUCAAUAAGCGGAGGA